Molecule: long non-coding RNA, 892 nt
Filed under: Cyanistes caeruleus (blue tit)
Lineage: Eukaryota; Metazoa; Chordata; Aves; Passeriformes; Paridae
Description: lncRNA (ENSCCEG00000000962.1)
Source: RNAcentral
CUGCGUGCGGCCCGGUCAUGAGGCUGCGCCGCCUGCGUAAAUCGGUAUGGGAAUAGCGCUCCCCUUGCGCAACCUGCGUGCGGCCCGGCAAUGCCGCUACGUCACUUGCGUAACUCAGCACGGGAGUAGCGUAGGCGGCGGGGAGUGGCGCGUUGUGAGGGGACGCGGCGGGCGGGGGCUCCUUCACGGCACCGCCGGGCUCUCAGACAGCUGGGGCGGGGAGCCCGCGGUGAGCGCUGCCCCGGUGCCUUCAGCAGCGCUGAGCUGAUGUCUGGCUGGGCAUCGUGCCUGCACCCUCCUAUGUACGAGACACAAUUUGCACACCAAUGCAAUGGAAGCUGUUGAGGAGGAACCACCUCGGUUUGAUCUUUGUAAACUGCUGGUCUUCAGCCUCCAUAGACAGUUCUGGCAGUGCACUUGAACAAGGCUGCAAAGAUAAUUAAUGCCAGCAGAAGCAGCAGAGCUGGGAACAGUGAGCAGAUGUCCUGAGCCGGCCCGAGGAAGCCCAGGCAGCCACACCAAUACAACCACCAGCACACAGACAAUCUCGCAGCCUGUCAGUCAGCAUCACGUGAGCAGUCCCCCAUCUAUUGCUCCUGGGACCCAGGGGGUGAUUUGGAAAGGAUCUGCUGGGCUGUCACUCACCUCCAUCUGCCUUCAGGAGAAGGAUUCUGGGUUCCAUGCUGUUUCCUCUUGUGCCUGCAUGGCUUUGAUCACAAUUUGCUUCUCAGGCCUUCAGAAUCACAGCUGCCCUGUAAGGUUUGCCCGUAAUCCUGUUGACAUGUUGUUCCCUGGCAAGCUCUGGACUCUAUUUGCUCCCAGUUUGGGAUUAACUGCUAUUUCUGAUGAUUCUGCUAUUGCCAUAGAUGUCCUGUUUCUUACCUGGAUUUAA